AAAUCUAAUGCUAAUUCUUUUCCCAUUUUUCUCAUCAUGGCUAAACUCUCAUCAUCUCCAACUACAGAUCUUCUUUGGUGAUAGAAAUGCAGAAUAUUUCUGAGAUAUCAUCAUCAACCUUUUUUUUUAAGUAAUGCAUAUCUUACACCAUCUCCAUCAAUGGUUUUUCAUUGAGAAACUGUUCAAUAUAAAAAUAAAAUAUAAUCAAAAAGUAUGAGAGAGAGUAGAAUUAGUCUCUCAAGUGAGAAACUCUGAGAAACCCAUAAGAACACUUGUAUAUCAUCUAUUGGUCAAAUAUUAUUUUAUUGUAAAAAUUUA
RNAcentral lists this small RNA (318 nucleotides) under Arabidopsis thaliana (thale cress). Its description in RNAcentral is "ATSL293250". The record is from RNAcentral. Lineage: Eukaryota; Viridiplantae; Streptophyta; Magnoliopsida; Brassicales; Brassicaceae.